Molecule: ribosomal RNA, 440 nt
Filed under: uncultured bacterium
Lineage: Bacteria
Description: partial 16S ribosomal RNA
Rfam family: Bacterial small subunit ribosomal RNA
Source: RNAcentral
CCUACGGGGGGCAGCAGUGGGGGAUAUUGCACAAUGGGGGAAACCCUGAUGCAGCGACGCCGCGUGUGGGAAGACGGUCCUCUGGAUUGUAAACCACUGUUCCCAGGGACGAAGAUGACGGUACCUGGGGAGGAAGCUCCGGCUAACUACGUGCCAGCAGCCGCGGUAAUACGUAGGGAGCGCGCGUUGUCCGGAAUUACUGGUUGUAAAGGGAGCGUUGGCGGGACUGCAAGUUGGAGGUAAAAUCUACCGGCUCAACCGGUGGCCGCACUCUAAACUGCAGUUCUUGAGUGAAGUAGAGGCAGGCGGAAUUCCUGGUGUAGCGGUGAAAUGCAUAGAUAUUAGGAAGAACACCAGUGGCGAAGGCGGCAUGCUGGGCUUUUACUGACGCUGAGGCUCGAAAGUGUGGGGAGCGAACAGGAGUAGAUACCCUAGUAGUC